This 537-nucleotide ribosomal RNA is filed under the name Triticum aestivum (bread wheat). RNAcentral describes it as "partial small subunit ribosomal RNA". The record is from RNAcentral. Lineage: Eukaryota; Viridiplantae; Streptophyta; Magnoliopsida; Poales; Poaceae.
AUGCUUGCGGCUGAGGCAAACAAGCGGACGGGUGGUUUUAUGCCUUGUCCAUGUGCUAACUAUAAGAAUGAUCUGAAUUACUCUAAGUCAAGAACCAUUCACGGCCACCUGUUUGAGUCUGAUUUCAUGCCCAACUAUAAUGUUUGGACCAAGCACGGAGAAAGAGGGGUUAUGAUGGAGGACAAUGAAGAAGAAGAGGACGACGACAACUAUCCUGACCAUGGGUUCCCUGAAUACAAUGGUACAACAAUGGGGGAAGAAGCUGAAGAAGAGGCAUCAGAUGAGCCCGCUGAUGAUCUAGGUCGGGCCAUUGCCGAUGCAAAGAGAAACUGCGCAAGUGAAAAGAAGAAAAAGAAGUUGCAGCGCAUGUUAGAGGAUCACAAGAAAUUGUUGUACCCGCAUUGCGAAGCUGACAAGAAAAAGUUGGGCACCACACUGGAAUUGCUGCAAUGGAAGGCAGAGAAUGAUGUAUCUGACAAGGGGUUUGGAAAGUUGCUGAUAAUGUUAAAGAAGAUGCUUCCAAAGGACAACAAAUAA